CUGAAUAGGGCGCAUAAGUAACAGGUCGUAGACCCGAAACCAGGUGAUCUACCCAUGUCCAGGAUGAAGGUAAGGUAAUACUUACUGGAGGUCCGAACCCACGCACGUUGAAAAGUGCGGGGAUGAGGUGUGGGUAGCGGAGAAAUUCCAAUCGAACUUGGAGAUAGCUGGUUCUCUCCGAAAUAGCUUUAGGGCUAGCCUCGAGGUAAAGAGUCAUGGAGGUAGAGCACUGUUUGGACUAGGGGCCCUUCUCGGGUUACCGAAUUCAGAUAAACUCCGAAUGCCAUGUACUUAUACUCGGGAGUCAGACUGCGAGUGAUAAGAUCCGUAGUCGAAAGGGAAACAGCCCAGACCACCAGUUAAGGUCCCCAAAUAUAUGUUAAGUGGAAAAGGAUGUGGGGUUGCUUAGACAACCAGGAUGUUGGCUUAGAAGCAGCCACCAUUGAAAGAGUGCGUAAUAGCUCACUGGUCGAGUGACCCCGCGCCGAAAAUGUACCGGGGCUAAACAUAUUACCGAAACUGUGGAUGAACCUCUUUAGAGGUUCGUGGUAGGAGAGCGUUCUAAGGGCGGUGAAGUCAGACCGGAAGGACUGGUGGAGCGCUUAGAAGUGAGAAUGCCGGUAUGAGUAGCGAAAGAAGGGUGAGAAUCCCUUCCACCGAAUAUCUAAGGUUUCCUGAGGAAGGCUCGUCCGCUCAGGGUUAGUCGGGACCUAAGCCGAGGCCGAUAGGCGUAGGCGAUGGACAACAGGUAGAGAUUCCUGUACCAGUGCUAAUUGUUUAACCGAUGGGGUGACACAGAAGGAUAGGGAAUCGCACGAAUGGAAAUGUGCGUCCAAGCAGUGAGUGUGAGAAGUAGGCAAAUCCGCUUCUCGCGAAGCAUGAGCUGUGAUGGGGAAGGAAAUUAAGUACGGAAGUUCCUGAUUUCACGCUGUCAAGAAAAGCCUCUAGGAAGAGUAGUACUGCCCGUACCGCAAACCGACACAGGUAGAUGAGGAGAGAAUCCUAAGGUGAGCGAGAGAACUCUCGUUAAGGAACUCGGCAAAAUGACCCCGUAACUUCGGGAGAAGGGGUGCUCUAUUAGGGUGCAAGCCCGAGAGAGCCGCAGUGAAUAGGCCCAGGCGACUGUUUAGCAAAAACACAGGUCUCUGCAAAACCGUAAGGUGACGUAUAGGGGCUGACGCCUGCCCGGUGCUGGAAGGUUAAGAGGAGUGCUUAGCUUCGGCGAAGGUACGAAUUGAAGCCCCAGUAAACGGCGGCCGUAACUAUAACGGUCCUAAGGUAGCGAAAUUCCUUGUCGGGUAAGUUCCGACCCGCACGAAAGGCGCAACGAUCUGGGCACUGUCUCAACGAGAGACUCGGUGAAAUUAUAGUACCUGUGAAGAUGCAGGUUACCCGCGACAGGACGGAAAGACCCCGUGGAGCUUUACUGCAACCUGAUAUGGAAUGUUUGUACCGCUUGUACAGGAUAGGUAGGAGCCGAAGAGACGUGUGCGCUAGCAUACGAGGAGGCAAUGGUGGGAUACUACCCUGGCUGUAUGACCAUUCUAACCCGCCACGCUUAGCGCGUGGGGAGACAGUGUCAGGUGGGCAGUUUGACUGGGGCGGUCGCCUCCUAAAGAGUAACGGAGGCGCCCAAAGGUUCCCUCAGAAUGGAUGGAAAUCAUUCGCAGAGUGUAAAGGCACAAGGGAGCUUGACUGCGAGACUGACAAGUCGAGCAGGGACGAAAGUCGGGCUUAGUGAUCCGGUGGUUCCGCAUGGAAGGGCCAUCGCUCAACGGAUAAAAGCUACCCCGGGGAUAACAGGCUUAUCUCCCCCAAGAGUCCACAUCGACGGGGAGGUUUGGCACCUCGAUGUCGGCUCGUCGCAUCCUGGGGCUGUAGUCGGUCCCAAGGGUUGG
RNAcentral lists this ribosomal RNA (1898 nucleotides) under Listeria monocytogenes. RNAcentral describes it as "partial 23S ribosomal RNA". It matches the Rfam family "Bacterial large subunit ribosomal RNA", at positions 683 to 2575 of the family's 2925-position model. Lineage: Bacteria; Bacillati; Bacillota; Bacilli; Caryophanales; Listeriaceae. The record is from RNAcentral.